CGAGAGAAUUCCCAUGAACCUUAUCAUUUAGGGGAGGGAGAAGUCGUAACAAGGUUUCCGUAGGUGAACCUGCGGAAGGAUCAUUGUCGAUGCCUCAACCCGGAUAGACCCGUGCAUGUGUUUUUACGUCACACGGGGGUGGGCCGCUCUGCCUCGGCAGGUUCGGCCCCCCUCCGCUGGGGUGUUGACGGCCCGUGCCUCCGCACCCCGGCACAAAACAACAAACCCCGGCGCGGAAUGCGCCAAGGAAAUCACAAACGAACAGCGUGCCCCCUCGACCCGGAAGCGGUGUUCGACCGGGUGGCGUCGCGAAAAUCGAGUCCUAAAUGACUCUCGGCAACGGAUAUCUCGGCUCUUGCAUCGAUGAAGAACGUAGCGAAAUGCGAUACUUGGUGUGAAUUGCAGAAUCCCGUGAACCAUCGAGUCUUUGAACGCAAGUUGCGCCCGAAGCCAUCAGGCCGAGGGCACGCCUGCCUGGGUGUCACCAAUCGUCCCCCCGACCCACACGGCCUCCGGCCGCGAGCAGGGGUGCAUGCUGGCUUCCCGUGAGCGAUGCCUCGCGGUUGGCUGAAAUUGAUGUCCGUUCCGGUGCUCUGCGCCGUGACACUUGGUGGUUGAGUUCAGUCUCUAGGCCAGCCACGAGCGCGUGAUGCCGGAUAUGGACACGGUGGCCCGUGAGCGGUACCGACCGCCCAUGAUGCGACCUCAGGUCUGGCGGGGCUACCCGCUGAGUUUAAGCCUAUCAAUAAGCGAGAGGGGAAAUUUCGUA
This 769-nucleotide ribosomal RNA is filed under the name Chamaecrista nictitans var. pilosa. RNAcentral describes it as "eukaryotic LSU rRNA". The stretch from base 329 to 484 matches the Rfam family "5.8S ribosomal RNA". The record is from RNAcentral. Lineage: Eukaryota; Viridiplantae; Streptophyta; Magnoliopsida; Fabales; Fabaceae.